Molecule: non-coding RNA, 73 nt
Organism: Myotis davidii
Lineage: Eukaryota; Metazoa; Chordata; Mammalia; Chiroptera; Vespertilionidae
Source: Rfam
GCCCAUUUAGCUCAGUGGUUAGAGUGUCAGCCCACGGACUGAAGGGUCAUGGGUUCAAUUCUGAUCAAGGGCA